UCUGAAGCAGUGUGUAACAGCGGCGGUAAAACAAUAAACAGCAGCAGUAAAACAAACCUUGCCCUAUUUUUCGUUAGCUACUCCUUAUCUGUUCCUCAUAGCUCAAAGCUUCAGCAGCGCAGGGAAUGAGAUCACCACUGGCAAUGGGCAGAUCUUUGCCUUCUCUGACACAAUCAUAAAAGAAUGUACGGAUGAAUGCAAAUUUCCUCCUGAAACCAAAACACUGAUGGAAGAGAAGUCAUAAAAAGGAUUGUAUAAUCAUUUGUCUCAAGCAUUCAGUGCCUGUGUAAUAAUAGACAACACAUAGACAUCCUAAAGCCUGAAGCAAAGAAACAGCUUAUCAACUCUAUAUCAUGAGGAAACUAUUUUACACAUUAGAAACAACUGAGAAUUAUGAUUGAAACUGACCAUUUCAGCGCACAGAUAUACACCACAUUUAUGAACUGCGUGACUAUCUCUGCAUUUUAAAAAAUGAUAUUUAUGGUCUCUAUGUAAUACAACAAACACAGGAUAACCCUUGCUGAAUCUUCUAAGCAUAUGCAGCUGAAGGUAGCAGGGUGUAUAAACAGUCUUAGAUGAAACAUUUGUCUAGCAGUGCUAAAUACUAUGGGAAGAAUCCAACAUUGUUUAUGUGAACUUUCACUUACGCAGUUGGACUUCACUACAUUCUCCUCUCUCAGUGCACCUCCUAAAUUUGUUCCAGAGGAUCUCUCAACUCUCUGGAGCAGAUUUUGAAGGCACACAGAGGGCUGAAGGAGAGAGGAGAGGUCAGUGAAGUCAUAUAAUGUGAGGGAAAAUCCAUUCAACUUGUGCAUGGAGAGCAUUGCAUACAACCUGCCUGACCCCUUAGAUCCUGAUCACUGAGAUCUUUGGGGGGGGGUCUCAGUUGGUGGUCCCCCAUGCUUCAGAUGACUUGUAGCUGGGUCCAAGGCUAUAGAACUUGCUCCCAAAUGAGAUUUAGAUUGGCACCCUCCCUGUUGAACCCCAGGUACAUGACUACAACUCUCUUGUUCCAGCAGACGUUUUAAGGUGCUGUUCAGUUUUAUGAUACAUUUUAUUGUUUUAUUUUCUGAAUCAUU
Molecule: long non-coding RNA, 1079 nt
Organism: Rhineura floridana
Lineage: Eukaryota; Metazoa; Chordata; Lepidosauria; Squamata; Rhineuridae
Exons: 3
Source: RefSeq, a predicted model, not a curated record